Syngnathus acus (greater pipefish) is the source of this 6632-nucleotide RNA transcript. It is a transcript of the gene named HIVEP zinc finger 2b, with no coding region annotated. NCBI's taxonomy places the organism in Eukaryota, Metazoa, Chordata, Actinopteri, Syngnathiformes, Syngnathidae. The transcript is spliced from 8 exons. The record is from RefSeq and is a predicted model, not a curated record.
UCUUGAUGAAUGAAGAGCAGCUUUUGACAAUGAUCAGGACAUCUGACUCCCUCCCACCCUCGCUUUCCCUCUCCUCCUACCCAGCCUGAGCGAGCUGCCAGAGCCGGAGAGGAAAAGCGCCCUGAAACGUGGGCCGUUGUGUAAUCCCUCCCAGGGCCCCUUUGCUAUUUUUGUACCCGGGUCUGCACGUCAUGCUUGGGUAUUUUCUCUGGUGACUGGCUCGCAUCAAUAGAACGCUCCAAAUGUGCGCCGCUACCGCCGCCACUCCGGACUGAUGGGACGUUUACCAUGGCGCUUUUUUUCCUUAUCCCGACGGAGGCGGAAUGGACGGUGCGGGAUGAGGAAUGAGGAUGCGGGACAUGGAAGGAGAGGAGGAGGUUGAAAUCUCAGAUGAGCCGUCACACGUGUACGUAAACAUCACUACUGACACCUAAGAAAUAUUAUCCCCAAGAAACGAACGCAACGUCGGAUUAAUGGAGUCACUAGAAACCGCCACAGGCUCUCCGGAAGGUCAGGACACAGAUGCCGCAGCAAAACGAUGCACACCUGAGAUAAGAAGGAGUCCAUCGGUGGAAAUGGAGGGAAAAGGGUGGCACCAGCACCCGCCGGAGGGCCCGGCCAAAGACACAGGCGGUUCCAAAAAAGCUCCCAACUCAGGGAAGUUACUGGCCAUUGAGGAUUCCAUCUCCCAAACUCCUAAAGACAGCGAAGCGUCGUUUUCACUGCAGGCCGCCAAAGUAGCCGUCAGACAAAGGAAGUCCCCGAGUUCACCUGAGCAACAGAGUUACUAUUCAGGGAUGGAGCUGCAGUCAGAGGCCGGCGGGAAGGUUGAGUUGAAACCACAGAAGCCUGGCAAAUAUGUUUGCGAGUACUGCGGAAGGGCAUGCGCCAAACCCAGUGUACUAAAGAAACACAUCCGGUCCCACACCGGAGAACGGCCAUACCCGUGCGUCCCCUGCGGGUUCUCCUUCAAAACCAAGAGCAAUUUGUACAAACACCGCAAGUCCCACGCUCACUCGGUCAAAGCUGGAACCCCGCCGUUCCCUCACAAUGUCAACGUGGACCAAGGGUCUUUUGAAGGCGACGGGGAUUUGUUCUCUGACGGCGAGCAAAGUACAGACACUGACGACGACACGUUCAGUGACCCGCUGCUGCUGUUGGACUCCCCGGCGGAGACCUCCGAUCACACCGCUGUCAAAGUGCUAAACCUCAUUUCUCACAAAAAGGCAUCGGCGAUGUCAACGUCGACUCAGGACAGCUCAUCCCACCUACCGGAAAUCAAUCCCAUUCCUGUCACCACUGUUGAGGCUAAUCGUGCAAUUCAAUCUUGCACAAUUAAACAACGGCUCGCACUUCGCCUGUCGGAGAAAAGGAGCAGCGACUCGGAACACAAUCUGUCCCUUCCGAGUCAGUCGAGUAAAGGCAGCACGGAUUCCGGCUAUUUUUCCCGAUCUGAAAGUGCCGAGCAUCAGACUAGCCCCCCGAACGCUAACGCCAAAUCCUACCAGGAAAUUAUGUUCGGGAAGUGUUACAAGCCCAGCCCCAAGCAGACCACAGUUGCUUGCUACACAGAUUCCGGUGAGGUAGAACGAUACUCAGAGAAAGGAGUUUCUCGGGUUUUCACCCAGGAAAAAGACACAGUCGAGUCAAUCAGAAUAAAUACAAAGUCCUUCACCAGGGAAGAGAUGAAAGAAGCACAGCUGGACACUGGCUCUGACAUGGGAACCCUCCUCAGGAGCAACUCCAUGCCCACGUCCUCGGCGGUCAGCCUGACCAUGCCCCAGGCCCUCCGGGGCAGCCACUCGUUCGACGAGAGAACAAGCAACGCGGGCAUGAGGAGACUGCGGCGGCAAGCUGCUUUCGAGCUGCCGUCCCACGAGGGCCACGUGGACAGCGACGGCCACGGGAAGGCAAGCGAGAUGUCACCUGCGGGACCGGAAAUGGAUUAUCCGCCGAGUGUGAACCUGCAGAGGCAUGCCAUGGAACUAGCGACCCGGAAGCGCCGGAAGGAAAAACGGGAAGAGGAAGAUCUGCCACCUCAGUAUGAGGUGCAUCACGGACAGUGUGAAGAAAUGUUUGACUCCGGUAAGGAUUACGAGUCGAAGCUAGCCGGACACGGUGCGGUCGGCGUCCUGAAAGGACGUUUGAGUAUGCAGCUGGACAGGAUUGACAUGGACAUCUCAGUCAGCCCUGAAAUGUGUGCUCGAAAAACAUUAGGAAAUGUCAUUUCGGUUAUCCAGCACACAAACUUCAUCAACAGGCCGCAUGCCGACCAGUCCGAGUCCUACAAGAGCCUCAGGCAGAGGGAGGAGAGCUUCUCCUCAUUUCAGCCCAUGGAGGAGUCUUUUGAGAUAGACAGGGGCGAUGGCACACUGAGGCAGUCCUUUCAGUUGGGUGCUAAACUGGUGCGACAGCCCAAUAUACAAGUACCGGAGAUCAGAGUCACCGUGGAGCCCGACAGUCCGGACAAAGCUCCGGACGUGCCGGUGAAGGAGCCGGAGAAGCAUGUGGAAGAGUUUCAAUGGCCGCAGCGGAGUGAAACUUUAGCUCAGUUCCCCCCUGAAAAACUCCCCCCAAAGAAGAAAAGGUUGCGCCUUGCUGACAUUGAGCACUCCUCGGGGGAGUCCAGUUUUGAAUCGGCCUGCACCAGUCUCUCACGAAGCCCCAGUCAGGACAGCAACUUAUCCUACAGCUCCACUUUCUCCUUUGACAGGGAGGAGAGCCUGAAGCCGGUUUCUCCUGCCAGGCAGGAUGAAUUUGGCAAGCCUCUGGAGCUCUUAGCUGUGCCGGGAAGCGGCCACUCGCUCUCUGUUCUCCAUCAGCGUCAGCAACAUGAAAUGAGACGCUCCUCCUCGGAGCAGGCCCCUUGCAACUUGCGCAAGGAGUUCCCAGAGGUACGCAGCGUAUCGUUUGACUAUGGAAGCCUCGAUCCAACAUCCAAAGUUAGACUCGGGGACUUGGCAAAGGAGAGACAGAGGGGGAAUUUGGUGCGCCAGGAGUCACUGAGCAUGGACACUGAGGCCUCACACGUGCAAAUAUUUUGUGGUGGCGCAAGCCCUUCAUCGCUGCCCAUCGCACUCCCCCAGCUCCCGCAUCCCGGUUUGUUAAUCCCCGUAAGACUCCAGACUCACGUGCCGAGCUACGGAAGCCUCACGUACACAUCUGUGUCACAGAUCUUUGACAAUCACUACGAUAAAGUUAGCCCUGCAUUAGCUGCCUCUCAGAAUCGAGCCACCACACACUCAGUCUCCGUGGAAGCCUUGGACCUAUCCUCGGCCAAACUCAAGACUGGCAUCCCCCUUUCCCUCACCUCUCGGACCAUCUCCACCACCAACGCGUCCAGCGGCUGCGCGAGCAAACGCAUGCUCUCGCCCGCCAGCAGCUUAGACCUCUUUAUGGAAGUCAAGCAGCAGAAGCGUGUGAAGGAGGAAAGGAUGUUUGGACAAAUUGUGAAGGAGCUGAGUGCAGUGGAGCUGGGCAAGGGCCACUUGGAGGAUGAUUCACACAGGAGAAAAUUUAUCACGCCUCGACAAGUGACCGAAGAACACAGCGUGGAGUCUGCUAUGGAGAGCAGCUCCUUGGAUACCAGCUCGCCUCCGCAUCUGAAACAAGCAGGCACGGAUAAACGGGCGCAGAUGGAAACGAGGACGUUGGCGCUCUUCAGCCGGGACAUCCUGGUCGCAGAGGCGGAGCGUCGGGGGACGCCGUCUUCCUUUCCAAGUCUUCGCACGGCGACAGGUGUGAGCUGGUGUUAUCUCAGCUACACCAAGCCGAGCUGCUCCCACGACGGCGAAGAAGGCGGCGGUGGUGGAGCUCCGUGUUCCGUCUAUGACACCUGGCAUGUCAGCUCACGCAAUCCCAAUCCGCCGGAGUUAAGCACCAGUGCCGCGCUGGCCUUGCUGCACUCCAAACAGAAGGGAGGCAAGUUGAUCUACUCAAUGGCUGCCAUGUGUCAGCCUGGCAAUGGGAAACUGGUUUCAUCCCUUGUCCUGUGGCGGCAGACGGGCGAACAGCUGCAGAGGAAACCGGAGCCCAAAGAGGCAGACGUCAACCCGGGCAAGAAGGUGAAAGACACCAGCUUCAGACUCAAGGCUGCCAAGGAAGAGUGGAAGGAGAGGGAGGCGUCAAAUACCCAAACAGCUCCGACGCGCAUCAAGAUCUUUGAGGGAGGGUACAAGUCCAAUGAGGACUACGUGUACGUUCGUGGCCGCGGACGAGGAAAAUACAUUUGCGAGGAGUGCGGCAUCCGCUGCAAAAAGCCCAGCAUGCUCAAGAAACAUAUUCGAACCCAUACGGAUGUGAGGCCCUAUAUCUGCAAGGUCUGCAACUUUGCAUUCAAAACGAAAGGAAACCUGACGAAGCACAUGAAGUCGAAAGCGCACAUGAAGAAAUGUCUAGAGCUAGGUGUGUCAGUGACAAUGGAUGACACGGAGAUUCAGGAACAUGUAGACGAGGCGCCGCAAGAAUCCAAGACGGAGGUGGCGAUCACGGCCAAACAUCAGUUCUCCGACGCCGAAUAUUCAGACGGUAUGGACGAAGACGCGGAUGAUGUUGACGAAGAUGAGGACGAGGACGACGACUAUGAGGGCGAGUCCACACCCAAGCUGCGUUCCAGGAGCACCAGUCCGCAGCCGGGCAGCGGCGUCACGUCACUGCCUGUCACUGUCACAGUCUCUGGCAGGUGGCCAGGCUCUGACCAGCGAGACAAGACCAUGGAGGAUGACACGCUGAGUGUCCUGUCUCCAGAUCAAGCCGGCUUCCUCUUCGACCCUUAUUCUUCAUGUCUCCUCUCGCCCGGUUGGGAAUCCCCCAUCAGGGAACCGUCCCCCUCCCGUCUGCGAUACCCAUCCCCGAGACGUGAGCUCUCCCCGCGGGGUCGUUGCUCCCCGCUGAGGCCCAGCUCGCCCGGAUUCUCACCUAUUCAGCACCUCUCUCCUUGUGUCGCGACGGAGAAACCCACGUCGCCCGGGGCAGAGAUGGCUGGGAAGCGGGAGUCGGCGGUGCGGGGCAGGCAGCGGGUCGUGCUGAGGGCCGUUUCGCCACGCAGGGGUGGGGCCCAUCAGCAGCGAGGUGGCAGCGACAAGAGCAGACAGCAUACUAAGAUGGACCUGGCUCAGCAACAAGGAGCCUUUGAGAUGGAGCUGGAGCAAAGGAGCAUCUCCAGUCUUCCCGCCGUCACCGGUGGUCCCCACCAGAAUCUCCUGAGCCACCUUCCUCUCCACUCUCAGCAGCAGGCCUUCAGCUUGCUUCCCGUACUUCCCGUCGGAGGAGCCCUCUGGGCGCCACCACCUUCCCCCGCCUCCUCCGACGUGCCACCGAGCCCACCAAGCGAGGAGGGGGCUGCACACGGGACCGCCGAGAUGGCGGAGGAAGACCAGGGAAGCCUGGAUUCCAGAACCAGGGACGGUGGACAGGAGGAGAACGUCCAAACGUGCUUGAAAGCCAUUGCCUCGCUCAACAUUAACACGGAGGACCCCCAUUAGAGACCUUGGGCCGCCACCUAACUUGUCAGGUCCGCACUUGGGCAAUACGACGACAAAGAUUCUUCACGACGAGGAAUCCCGCUCUUCUCUUCGGACUGCCUCGCUCAUGAUCAAAACAAAGGGACCCUAAGUAGAUAAAGGCCCCCGUCCCGUCCGGGGACUUUGGGUCACCUCCCACCUGUUUGGGUCCCAACAGAGGCAAUAUGACGACACAGCUUCUUGGCUUCCUUGGACUGGACGAGCAACGAUUAUUAACUAUUAUCAUCAUUGGGUGCAGGUGCAAUAUGAAGAGAUCUACUGUAAAAUGCUAAUAUGCCUUUUGUUUGACAUAGCAGUUUGCAUACAAUUGCACAUAAAUUAUAUUUAUAGAUUACUGUAUAAAAAAAAAAAAACGUCCUUUUACGUAUUACACUCCCUCCUCCUUCUUAGACGCAGUGUAUUUUAACGUCCGUGUACUUUGCGAAUAGACUGUUGUCUCAUGUACUCAUAUCGAGGUGUGAUACAGUAGUGCGGUAAAUACUUAUAUUUCAAAUAAUUAAGGGUACGAUAAGAAAGUCCAAAUUUUGACGCUUUUUGCGCAAAGAGGGUCUGUGCCUUUAUUUUGCUCGGGAGGAUGUUUAAAAAGGUCAAGGAAGAGCUUUGCGAGCUUGUUUCAUCUUUAAAAAAAAAAAAAAAAAAAAAAAAAUCUGUUUUCUUUUUCUUAAUGUUGUGGUUUUUAUCUUGCAUGGGAUUUGCUAUUGCACAAAAAUUACAGGAAGUCAACAUGUAAUUACUGUAAGAUGUAUUUAUAUAUUAGGAUGUAAGCACUUAUUGAUACUGGUAAAUAUUUGACUACUAUUUAUAUAUGGUAUAUAUAUAAUAUAUAUACAUAUAUAUAUAUACAUACAUGGUAUAUGUAUAUACUAAAGUGCAUUGUGCCUCUCAUACGUUGAAGAGGACAAAUUGUUUACCUCUCACCCGAGACUUAUUGAGGACAAAAAGCCUCAGUAGCCAAUCCAUCGUUUGACUUGUUUGCGUCAAAUUUGCUCGGUCGGGGAUGGAGUGCCUCUGAUGCUUUUGGGUUAAGGGGCGGGGCUAAUCUAUUAUUAUCAUUUGGUGCUCAGAUUGAAUUGAAUAUUGUUUGAAGAGAAUAUACUUCUAACCCAGGAA